ACACUCACUCUCCUCCCUCCACCAUCUGUUGUUCCCUCUCUUCUCAGGCGGCUCUAAGUGCCUUGAAACAGCUGUCGGAGCAGGGGUUGGACCCGGUGGACGGAGCCAUCAAGAGCAGUGAGGUGUGUGUGCGGGAGGACGGACAUUAAACAGACUAACUCAGGCACCACCACUCAGGUCUGCACGGAUUCACAGGCUGUCGUCUAGGAGGUGAAACCCCCUCAAACCCACCCUCAACACCCCAUGACCCACAAUCCCCCUCUUCCCCCACGAUCGCCACUGUAUCCUGCAAAAACCUUUCAACAUGCAAUAGGGUGGAUGUGCACCGAGAAAAGACGACGACUAAAACACAUUAUUACUGAGUCUAUGUGAAGACAACGCUAUGUUAACACGUUUAUCGAUGAUUUCUAAAUUCAAAAGAUGAAACUCACGAGAGAGAUGCAUGGUACUGUAUGAAAUCCAAAGGGAGACCCUGCAGAGACCCUUUGGAUUACUGUAUUGUGGUGUGGUUAAACACAAAUAUGUACGUCAUGCCAUUGAAACACAGGAACAUAUGAGAGGAGAAACCAACUCGCGUACAGUAGCUUAUUUUCCGGGGGUAUUAUGUUUCCGUUUUUUUUAAUUCUUUUUAUUAAUCUAACAAUGCUUGAGUACUGUAUUUAAAAUUAACCAAUGCCAGUGCUGUGAAAGUUGUAGUUGUUGUCUUCAUAUAUAGUCACCCAGCUUACCUUGUACGCUGACAUUAAGAUAAAAAAACCAGUUCAUCCAUCGAUAUGGAUGAGUUUGACCUGCAAGAGAAUCAUAUCCCCACGAAUAACACAGAGCAGGUUUUCAUGUGGACAAAAAGGACAAAACUGGUGUUAGCAGUAAUCAGUAGAAGUGUUGGACGACCCUUUGCCUCCUGAAGGGUCUACAUUCCCGUUAACAGCCCCCAAAGCCCUGCAUAUUAUCACUGGAGAGGAGACUAAACACACGCUCCAUCCAGUGAUUUUGUGUCGGAAACCCCCUCCCACUGUUUUGUCGAUCACAUCUACACCCAUUGUGUGUGCUGUAUUGACCCGCCGAGGCAUCAACUGGGUGCUUUUAAAGCCUGCAUUAGUCUGGAGUGUGUCUUCUGAGCGGACUGAAGGCCACUCUGUCACUUUGUUCACUGACUUUGAGGACGUGUCUUCUUCUUCGCUGUGAGUACAACGUGUAAUACGGCUGUCUGUUACUGAAAUGCAGUAAAAACACCUCAGUUCAUGUGGAAAAAAAA
This is a long non-coding RNA of Gymnodraco acuticeps, 1255 nucleotides long. RefSeq lists it as uncharacterized. NCBI's taxonomy places the organism in Eukaryota, Metazoa, Chordata, Actinopteri, Perciformes, Bathydraconidae. The transcript is spliced from 2 exons. The record is from RefSeq and is a predicted model, not a curated record.